AUUGAACGCUGGCGGAAUGCUUUACACAUGCAAGUCGAGCGGCAGCACGGGGGUAACCCUGGUGGCGAGCGGCGAACGGGUGAGUAAUACAUCGGAACAUGCCCAGUCGUGGGGGAUAACACUUCGAAAGAAGUGCUAAUACCGCAUACGUCCUGAGGGAGAAAGCGGGGGAUCGCAAGACCUCGCGCGAUUGGAGUGGCCGAUGUCAGAUUAGCUAGUUGGUGGGGUAAAGGCCUACCAAGGCAACGAUCUGUAGCUGGUCUGAGAGGAUGAUCAGCCAAACUGGGACUGAGACACGGCCCAGACCCCUACGGGAGGCAGCAGUGGGGAAUUUUGGAAAAUGGGGGCAACCCUGACCCAGCCAUUCCGGGUGGGUGAAGAAGGCCUUCGGGUUGUAAAGCUCUUUCGGCAGGAACGAAACGGUGGGCUCUAACAUAGCUUGCUAAUGAGGGUACCUGAAAAAGAAGCACCGGCUAACUCCGG
RNAcentral lists this ribosomal RNA (483 nucleotides) under uncultured bacterium. RNAcentral describes it as "partial 16S ribosomal RNA". It matches the Rfam family "Bacterial small subunit ribosomal RNA", at positions 29 to 506 of the family's 1533-position model. The record is from RNAcentral.